Rhinichthys klamathensis goyatoka is the source of this 2401-nucleotide RNA transcript. It is a transcript of the gene named non-SMC condensin II complex, subunit H2, with no coding region annotated. The record is from RefSeq and is a predicted model, not a curated record. The transcript has 20 exons. Lineage: Eukaryota; Metazoa; Chordata; Actinopteri; Cypriniformes; Leuciscidae.
CGUCACGCACGCGGCAAAAACAAAAAUGACGUACGCGCGGCUUCUCACCAAAGUGUAGGUUUUAUCAAAAGUUUUGCCCAUUUUAGUGACACAAAUGCUAUAAUUUUCAGAAAUACACAAUUAAGAGGAUAUUUUUAUUUAGCAGCCGUUGAUUAUUCGCGUACUGAAGGGUAUUUUGGAAGAACAUGGCCACGGAUUCCGCAGAGACGAGAUAUGCCCACCUGCUGCAACCCCUGCGGGACCUCACCAAGAACUGGGACAUUGACCUGGCCAGCCAGCUCGGAGAGUAUCUUGAGGAGCUGGACCAGAUGACCAUUUCAUUUGAUGGUGGGAAAACUAUGAUGAACUUUGCAGAGGCUGCACUUUUAAUUCAAGGAUCAACGUGCAUCUAUGGCAGAAAGGUGGAGCUCCUUCACACUCUGGUGUUUCAAACAUUGGACUACAUCUCUAACAAAAACAAGAAACGUGAUAAACAAGGUUCUUCAUCAGAUGGUAACCAAGAAAAAGCCCAUUCAGGCAAUGAAGGUGACGAUUGUGAGUUUGAUGAGAUUGAACAGGAUGAGAAUGUCAACUCUCAGAAUAUAACAAUGAAAGAUCCAACAGAGCCCGUGAAGAUUAUCCGUCUCCCUCCUGAGUCUCUCAUUCCUGCCGAAUCACAUGAGAAACAGAAAUACCCCCUUCUCAGUCUUAAAGGGGAGCUUCUUGGCAGCUGUAAGGAUUUUCGGAUUAAUAAUUUCACCAUGGAUGAAGCGGGAUUGAUGCGUCUGGGCUCUUCACACGCUCACUUCCUCAAGGAGGUUGCAGAAAUCCAGCACAAUUUCUCUGUACAUGCACCUGUGCCCUUACAGACAGAAGGGGUUGCUGAGGUUGAUGGUGGUUACGAUGAAGAAGAUGGUGGUGCUGAGGUUCUUCCUCCACUGGAAGAUCAUGGGAUGGAGGUGGAGUCUGAAGAGUGGGUAGAAAGGCAUCAGGGCCCGAGUGAGGGGAGGAUGCUGAGACCGAGACCUGAAGUACAGCCAAUUUCAGUGGAACCUAAGCAACCCAAGGAAAGUGUGGACCCUUGGAAAUGGCACGACUCAUAUGCUGUGUUUGGGGAGGACAAACCUCUCAAAAUAGGCAAGUGUUAUAAAGUGCCAGCAGGUCUUGAAGAGUCUGGAAAAAGAAAGAGGAAGGGUCCUUCAAAACUGCAGGACUUUGGCAGCUGGUACUCUAAAGCUUUUGAGACUGCGGAUCGCAAGCUUAAGAAUGGACCCACUUAUCCUGACCUUAAUUACAUCUUUGUGAGUAAAAUGGGUCAGCGUCUGAAAGUACAGAAGCAGAUUCUCAGGAAAAGGGGUGUUUUUGUCUCCGAUGAGGAGUUAAAGAAGACUUACCUGGAACCAGAGAAUCUUGAGGACCAGGUCGAGGUGGUCCGGCAUCCAGAUGUAGAGGGUGAGGACUUUUCAGAUCAGGAACAUGACGACUUUGUUGAUGAUCUUGAACCUGCGGAUCACCUCGGAGAACAGGAGCAAAUUUUCCAAGACUUGCAUAUGAGCCGGAUGAGUUAUGAAGAUCUGGUCAAGAAGAGUGUGGAUCUGUUUCUGGUGAACUCUCAGAAGUAUGCACAGGAGACGGCGUUGUCUCGAAGAGUCAAAGAGUGGGAGGAUGGAAUCAACCCUCAUCUUGCUGCCCAGGAGACCCGUCUUGCUUUUGACAUCCAUGAGUAUGGAGACAGAAUUGUCCAGGCUCUCUCUAGCGUGGGGAUGAAGAAAUCAUUUGCCUUCGUUGUCGAAGGCAAGGAGAACACAGAAGCCUGCAGAUACAUGCUGGCUGCGCUACAGCUGGCCAAUGAUUACACUGUGGAGAUUGACAAGAAGGAGGGACUUGAAGACAGCGUAGAUACAAUGGAACUCACAUUACUGACUACACAGAGAGCUCAUGAACGUCUCAAAACCUACAACGCACCUUCUGCUACAGAUAUUCCCUGACCUUUUACUUUUGUUUAUUGCUUAUCAUCUCUUCCCUUUGGCCCCAAACAGAAGCUCUUUAUCACUGACAACAUCAGAGAGAUAAAAAUCACUCAAAGACUUUCUAUGCUUUUCUAUUCUAGGCAUUUUGCUCUCGUAAUGCAAACAUGUAUACUGAUAUUCAGCACUGCUCUUGCAUUUGAAUUUGGUCUUUAAACACGCAUGAAGGAAUCGGAGUCACAAGAUGUGAUUCAAUUAUAUGUAAAAUUAUGAUAAAAGUCUGUACAAUUGUCUGUUUCUAUGCAUUUUCUGGACACUUCAUCUCCAAGUAAACGAUUUUUAAAGUUUCCAUCUAUUAUAUUUUUUGUUUUAUUUCAAUUAAAAAAAACUAUUUUUAAUAGUUUUAUUUACUUGCAGUUAAUUAUGCAAAUAAGGAACUAGGAUGCGGUUGAUCA